GAUGAACGCUGGCGGCGUGCCUAAUACAUGCAAGUCGAGCGAACAGAUGAGGAGCUUGCUCCUCUGACGUUAGCGGCGGACGGGUGAGUAACACGUGGAUAACCUACCUAUAAGACUGGGAUAACUUCGGGAAACCGGAGCUAAUACCGGAUAAUAUAUUGAACCGCAUGGUUCAAUAGUGAAAGACGGUUUUGCUGUCACUUAUAGAUGGAUCCGCGCCGCAUUAGCUAGUUGGGAAGGUAACGGCUUACCAAGGCUACGAUGCGUAGCCGACCUGAGAGGGUGAUCGGCCGCCCUGGAACUGAGACACGGUCCAGACUCCUACGGGAGGCAGCAGUAGGGAAUCUUCCGCAAUGGGCGAAAGCCUGGCGGAGCAACGCCGCGUGAGUGAUGAAGGUCUUCGGAUCGUAAAACUCUGUUAUUAGGGAAGAACAAAUGUGUAAGUAACUAUGCACGUCUUGACGGUACCUAAUCAGAAAGCCACGGCUAACUACGUG
RNAcentral lists this ribosomal RNA (497 nucleotides) under uncultured bacterium. Its description in RNAcentral is "partial 16S ribosomal RNA". It matches the Rfam family "Bacterial small subunit ribosomal RNA", at positions 28 to 507 of the family's 1533-position model. The record is from RNAcentral.